AAAUAUUUCAAUCUCACUUAAAACUGUGUUAGACGAAUCGGUCCAGAUGAUUAAUUUGAUAAAGAGUCGACCAUUACAGUCACGACUAUUUAAAAUUAUAUGUGAAGAUAUGGGUAGUCACCACUCUGCUUUGCUUUUGCAUUCAGAAGUCUGUUGGCUAUCACGAGGUAAAGUCCUUAUUAGAAUGUUUGAAUUGUGUCAAGAGUUGUUUGCAUAUUUCCAGGAUCACAAAUUUGGAUUUUAUGUCAAGACACGGAGGCGAGUAUUGCUUAUCCCUUUCUUUACUGUCCACCAAUAGCAGCAAAGAAUACAAACCGAAAGAAAAAAAUGGUAUCCAUAGUGAUAAGCCACUCCCAUACCAAGUCCCAGUAUAAGUCAACACCUCCCAACAUAUUUCCUCUUUCUUUGCUGCUCUACACAAGAUAAGUACA
Molecule: non-coding RNA, 431 nt
Organism: Pelobates cultripes (western spadefoot toad)
Lineage: Eukaryota; Metazoa; Chordata; Amphibia; Anura; Pelobatidae
Source: the annotation of a GenBank genome assembly